ACCACAGGCUACGACGGGUAGGGGGCCUGAGAGGUGACCCCCCACACGGGAACUGAGACACGGUCCCGACUCCUACGGGAGGCAGCAGUGAGGAAUCUUGCGCAAUGGGGGAAACCCUGACGCAGCGACGCCGCGUGCGGGAGGAAGGCCUUCGGGUCGUAAACCGCUUUUCUGAGGGACGAAGAAGGACGGUACCCCAGGAAUAAGUCCCGGCUAACUACCUGCGGCAGCCGCGGGCCG
RNAcentral lists this ribosomal RNA (240 nucleotides) under uncultured Actinomyces sp. RNAcentral's name for it is "partial 16S ribosomal RNA". It matches the Rfam family "Bacterial small subunit ribosomal RNA", at positions 266 to 524 of the family's 1533-position model. Lineage: Bacteria; Bacillati; Actinomycetota; Actinomycetes; Actinomycetales; Actinomycetaceae. The record is from RNAcentral.